AGAGUUUGAUCAUGGCUCAGAAUGAACGCUGGCGGCGUGCUUAACACAUGCAAGUCGUACGAGAACUCUUUAGCUUGCUAAAGAUAGUAAAGUGGCGCACGGGUGAGUAACGCGUGGGUAAUCUACCUCCGAAUCGGGGAUAACCCGCCGAAAGGCGAGCUAAUACCGGAUAAUAUCUAUAAAAUUUCGGUUUUAAAGAUCAAAGGUGGUCUCUACAUGUAAGCUACUGUUUGGAGAUGAGCCCGCGUACCAUUAGCUUAUUGGUAGGGUAAUGGCCUACCAAGGCUUCGAUGGUUAGCUGGUCUGAGAGGAUGAUCAGCCACACUGGAACUGACACACGGUCCAGACUCCUACGGGAGGCAGCAGUGAGGAAUUUUGCGCAAUGGGGGAAACCCUGACGCAGCAACGCCGCGUGAGUGAUGAAGGCUUUCGGGUCGCAAAGCUCUGUCAAGUGGGAAGAACAUGCUUGAUGCUAAUACCAUCUUGCACUGACGGUACCACUGAAGGAAGCACCGGCUAACUCCGUGCCAGCAGCCGCGGUAAUACGGGGGGUGCAAGCGUUAUUCGGAAUUAUUGGGCGUAAAGGGCGCGUAGGCGGUCUCUUAAGUCAGAUGUGAAAGCCCGGGGCUUAACCCCGGAAGUGCAUUUGAAACUAAGGGACUUGAGUAUGGGAGAGGGAAGUGGAAUUCCUGGUGUAGAGGUGAAAUUCGUAGAUAUCAGGAGGAACACCGGUGGCGAAGGCGACUUCCUGGACCAAUACUGACGCUGAGGCGCGAAGGCGUGGGGAGCAAACAGGAUUAGAUACCCUGGUAGUCCACGCAGUAAACGGUGAACACUAGGUGUAGCGGGUAUUGACCCCUGCUGUGCCGUAGCUAACGCAUUAAGUGUUCCGCCUGGGGAGUACGGUCGCAAGAUUAAAACUCAAAGGAAUUGACGGG
RNAcentral lists this ribosomal RNA (938 nucleotides) under uncultured Desulfobacteraceae bacterium. RNAcentral describes it as "bacterial SSU rRNA". It matches the Rfam family "Bacterial small subunit ribosomal RNA", at positions 8 to 917 of the family's 1533-position model. The record is from RNAcentral. Lineage: Bacteria; Pseudomonadati; Thermodesulfobacteriota; Desulfobacteria; Desulfobacterales; Desulfobacteraceae.